RNAcentral lists this ribosomal RNA (497 nucleotides) under uncultured bacterium. RNAcentral describes it as "partial 16S ribosomal RNA". It matches the Rfam family "Bacterial small subunit ribosomal RNA", at positions 28 to 507 of the family's 1533-position model. The record is from RNAcentral.
GAUGAACGCUGGCGGCGUGCCUAAUACAUGCAAGUCGAGCGAACAGACGAGGAGCUUGCUCCUCUGACGUUAGCGGCGGACGGGUGAGUAACACGUGGAUAACCUACCUAUAAGACUGGGAUAACUUCGGGAAACCGGAGCUAAUACCGGAUAAUAUAUUGAACCGCAUGGUUCAAUAGUGAAAGACGGUUUUGCUGUCACUUAUAGAUGGAUCCGCGCCGCAUUAGCUAGUUGGUAAGGUAACGGCUUACCAAGGCGACGAUGCGUAGCCGACCUGAGAGGGUGAUCGGCCACACUGGAACUGAGACACGGUCCAGACUCCUACGGGAGGCAGCAGUAGGGAAUCUUCCGCAAUGGGCGAAAGCCUGACGGAGCAACGCCGCGUGAGUGAUGAAGGUCUUCGGAUCGUAAAACUCUGUUAUUAGGGAAGAACAAAUGUGUAAGUAACUAUGCACGUCUUGACGAUACCUAACCAGAAAGCCACGGCUAACUACGUG